RNAcentral lists this ribosomal RNA (478 nucleotides) under uncultured bacterium. RNAcentral describes it as "partial 16S ribosomal RNA". It matches the Rfam family "Bacterial small subunit ribosomal RNA", at positions 28 to 523 of the family's 1533-position model. The record is from RNAcentral.
GACGAACGCUGGCGGCGUGCUUAACACAUGCAAGUCGAACGGUAAGGCCCUUCGGGGUACACGAGUGGCGAACGGGUGAGUAACACGUGGGUGAUCUGCCCUGCACUUCGGGAUAAGCCUGGGAAACUGGGUCUAAUACCGGAUAGGACUCCGGACUGCAUGGUCUGGGGUGGAAAGCUUUUGCGGUGUGGGAUGGGCCCGCGGCCUAUCAGCUUGUUGGUGGGGUGAUGGCCUACCAAGGCGACGACGGGUAGCCGGCCUGAGAGGGGGACCGGCCACACUGGGACUGAGAUACGGGCCAGACUCCUGCGGUAGGCAGCAGUGGGGAAUAUUGCACAAUGGGCGCAAGCCUGAUGCAGCGACGCCGCGUGAGGGAUGACGGCCUUCGGGUUGUAAACCUCUUUCAGCAUCGACGAAGUGAAAGUGACGGUAGGUGCAGAAGAAGGACCGGCCAACUACGUGCCAGCCGCCGCCGUAA